GACAGAGGGUGCAAACGUUGCUCGGAAUUACUGGGCGUAAAGCGCGUGUAGGCGGGCCGAUAAGUCAGACGUGAAAUCCCUGAGCUCAACUCAGGAACUGCAUCUGAAACUGCCGGUCUAGAGUGGUGGAGAGGGAAGCGGAAUUCCUGGUGUAGAGGUGAAAUUCGUAGAUAUCAGGAGGAACACCGGUGGCGAAGGCGACUUCCUGGACACCAACUGACGCUGAGACGCGAAAGCGUGGGGAGCAAACAGG
RNAcentral lists this ribosomal RNA (253 nucleotides) under uncultured bacterium. RNAcentral describes it as "partial 16S ribosomal RNA". It matches the Rfam family "Bacterial small subunit ribosomal RNA", at positions 524 to 776 of the family's 1533-position model. RNAcentral also lists the same sequence under 1 other name. The record is from RNAcentral.